Molecule: ribosomal RNA, 395 nt
Filed under: uncultured bacterium
Lineage: Bacteria
Description: bacterial SSU rRNA
Rfam family: Bacterial small subunit ribosomal RNA
Source: RNAcentral
GACGAACGCUGGCGGCGUGCUUAACACAUGCAAGUCGAGCGGGGUCCAUCCAGUAGCAAUACUGGUGAAGACCUAGCGGCGAACGGGUGAGUAACACGUGAGCAACCUGCCCCGAAGUCUGGGAUAACACCGGGAAACCGGUGCUAAUACCGGAUGUCCUCACCGAGUCACCUGGCUUGAUGAGGAAAGAUUUAUCGCUUCGGGAGGGGCUCGCGGCCUAUCAGCUUGNGGCGGGGUAACGGCCCACCAAGGCUUCGACGGGUAGCUGGUCUGAGAGGACGACCAGCCACACUGGGACUGAGACACGGCCCAGACUCCUACGGGAGGCAGCAGUGGGGAAUCUUGCGCAAUGGGCGAAAGCCUGACGCAGCAACGCCGCGUGGGGGAUGAAUGCC